AGUUAUUUAGCUUAUAAUAAAGCAAGUAUUUUGAAAAUACUAGAAAGAUAAUAUUUAUUAACUU
This 64-nucleotide transfer RNA is filed under the name Scaphoideus maai. RNAcentral's name for it is "tRNA-Ser". Lineage: Eukaryota; Metazoa; Arthropoda; Insecta; Hemiptera; Cicadellidae. The record is from RNAcentral.